Molecule: ribosomal RNA, 448 nt
Filed under: uncultured bacterium
Lineage: Bacteria
Description: bacterial SSU rRNA
Rfam family: Bacterial small subunit ribosomal RNA
Source: RNAcentral
UGCCAGACUCCUACGGGAGGCAGCAGUGGGGAAUAUUGGGCAAUGGGCGCAAGCCUGACCCAGCAACGCCGUGUGAAGGAAGAAGGCUUUCGGGUUGUAAACUUCUUUUCUCAGGGACGAAUAGAUGACGGUACCUGAGGAAUAAGCCACGGCUAACUACGUGCCAGCAGCCGCGGUAAUACGUAGGUGGCAAGCGUUAUCCGGAUUUACUGGGUGUAAAGGGCGUGUAGGCGGGGACGCAAGUCAGAUGUGAAAACCACGGGCUCAACCUGUGGCCUGCAUUUGAAACUGUGUUUCUUGAGUACUGGAGAGGCAGACGGAAUUCCUAGUGUAGCGGUGAAAUGCGUAGAUAUUAGGAGGAACACCAGUGGCGAAGGCGGCUUGCUGGGCUUUUACUGACGCUGAGGCUCGAAAGCGUGGGGAGCAAACAGGAUUAGAUACCCGGGUA